RNAcentral lists this transfer RNA (72 nucleotides) under Sphaerodactylus townsendi. RNAcentral's name for it is "tRNA-Ala". It matches the Rfam family "tRNA". From Rfam's summary of the family: Transfer RNA (tRNA) molecules are approximately 80 nucleotides in length. Their secondary structure includes four short double-helical elements and three loops (D, anti-codon, and T loops). Lineage: Eukaryota; Metazoa; Chordata; Lepidosauria; Squamata; Sphaerodactylidae. The record is from RNAcentral.
GGGGCUGUGGUUCAAUGGGAGAGCAUCCGUUUGGCAUGCACAGGGUCCCAAGUUCAAUCCUUGGCAUCUCCU